RNAcentral lists this ribosomal RNA (797 nucleotides) under bacterium enrichment culture. RNAcentral's name for it is "bacterial SSU rRNA". It matches the Rfam family "Bacterial small subunit ribosomal RNA", at positions 57 to 849 of the family's 1533-position model. The record is from RNAcentral.
GCCAGUCGAGGGGCAGCGCGAUGUAGCGAUACAUUGGCGGCGACCGGCGCACGGGUGCGUAACACGUAUGGAACCUGCCCUGUACUGGGAGAUAACCCGGAGAAAUCCGGACUAAUAUCCCAUAACAACCGAGGUGGCAUCACCUUGGCUUGAAAGCUCCGGCGGUACAGGAUGGCCAUGCGCCCGAUUAGCUAGUUGGUGAGGUAACGGCUCACCAAGGCUACGAUCGGUAGGGGGCCUGAGAGGGUUAUCCCCCACACUGGUACUGAGACACGGACCAGACUCCUACGGGAGGCAGCAGUGAGGAAUAUUGCGCAAUGGAGGCAACUCUGACGCAGCCAUGCCGCGUGCAGGAAGAAGGCGCUACGCGUUGUAAACUGCUUUUAAUCGGGAAGAAACCCCGGGACGUGUCCCGGGUUGACGGUACCGAUGGAAUAAGCACCGGCUAACUUCGUGCCAGCAGCCGCGGUAAUACGAAGGGUGCAAGCGUUAUCCGGAUUCAUUGGGUUUAAAGGGUGCGUAGGCGGGACAGCAAGUCAGCGAUGAAAUCCCGUGGCUCAACCACGGAAUUGCCGUUGAUACUGCUGUUCUUGAGUACGUUUGACGUGGGCGGAAUGUGCCGUGUAGCGGUGAAAUGCUUAGAUAUGGCACAGAACACCGAUAGUGAAGACAGCUCACGAAGACGAAACUGACGCUGAGGCACGAAAGCGUGGGGAUCAAACAGGAUUUAGAUACCCUGGUAGUCCACGCCGUAAACGAUGAUCACUCGUGAUCGGCCGAUAUACUGUCGGUCACCU